RNAcentral lists this ribosomal RNA (426 nucleotides) under uncultured Gammaproteobacteria bacterium. Its description in RNAcentral is "bacterial SSU rRNA". It matches the Rfam family "Bacterial small subunit ribosomal RNA", at positions 356 to 774 of the family's 1533-position model. Lineage: Bacteria; Pseudomonadati; Pseudomonadota; Gammaproteobacteria. The record is from RNAcentral.
GGGAAAAAUUGGGCCAUGGGCCCAAGCCUGAUCCAGCCAUACCGCGUGGGUGAAGAAGGCCUUCGGGUUGGAAAGCCCUUUUGCUGGGAAAGAAAAGCAUUCGGUUAAUACCCGAUUGCUCUGACGGUACUCAAAGAAUAAGCACCGGCUAACCUUGUGCCAGCAGCCGCGGUAAUACGAAGGGUGCAAGCGUUACUCGGAAUUACUGGGCGUAAAGCGUGCGUAGGUGGUUGUUUAAGUCUGUCGUGAAAGCCCUGGGCUCAACCUGGGAAUUGCGAUGGAAACUGGGCGACUAGAGUGUGGCAGAGGGUGGUGGAAUUUCCUGUGUAGCGGUGAAAUGCGUAGAUAUAGGAAGGAACACCAGUGGCGAAGGCGACCACCUGGGCUAAUACUGACACUGAGGUGCGAAAGCGUGGGGAGCAAACA